Molecule: long non-coding RNA, 1010 nt
Organism: Neofelis nebulosa (Clouded leopard)
Lineage: Eukaryota; Metazoa; Chordata; Mammalia; Carnivora; Felidae
Exons: 3
Source: RefSeq, a predicted model, not a curated record
CAUUCUUCAAACAAAUUCAUCUAUAGGAUCCCAGUACACUUGGCAUAAGAACAGAGCUGACCUGGUGGAAAAGUAGGCAGGGAGGGGUCUGAAGACCACCCACACAGCCUCCCAGAUCUCCCAGGUGCCCCGAGGCAGCUCCUUUCUACUAACGGGGCAUGAAGAGCCGUUUGAAAAUCACUCGAUAGCCCUCAGCUCCCACCAGUCCGCUGGAUCCGGGGGGCCUCUUGGAGAUUCCACCUCAACCAAGAGCCUGAUGCAAACCAUGAGCUGCCCCAGCAGAGGCCAGACUUAGCAGCCACCCACCCCCCCACCUCAGGACAGUGAGCUCUGGCAGCCAUAGGCCAAGUGGUUCCCAAAGUGUGGUUCCCGGCUCAUCGCUGGAAACUUGUGAGAAAUGCAGAUUCUCCGUUCUGACCCAGACCUACUGAAGCAGAAACUCUUGAGGCUGAGGCCUCAAGAGUUUUACAGACUUCGGGUGAUUCCAGCAUAUACCCAAGUCUCAGAACCACCCUAGAAAUAGAUGGUAAGAUACGCCCUGAAACAGCAGCUGAGGAGACGAGAACCUGGCAUUUUCUACAGACAUCUAUGUGGAGUAAAUCACAUGAAACGAAACGUCAGCAUUCUUGGCUUGUGGGACACAAGCACAAAGCCUUACUUCCAAUAGCAAGGAGGAACUGAACAGGAGGCUGCGCGCAUUGCUAUGCACACCUCCACUUCUCCGAGGCAUCUCGCCCGCAGAGUCUGACAGUUCCAGAUAAAACAGCAUGCAAAAUUGCCACCAAUACAGCAAAGUAGCCUGAAGAAACAAAUGUUCCAGUGAAAAACUCCUACACGUCCCAUCAAUAAUUCACUAUUUGUAGGAGAAGAAUUUGAUUACAUAAUUAUGGGGUUCGAUUGAACACGGUUUUUGCUACUGUAAACAGUCCAGCUAUGAACAUUCUUGGUCUCCUGGUAUCCACAUACAAGAGCUUCUCAGGAGUCUAGAUCUAGGAAUAAAGUCUGCUUGU